GAAACAAAAUCAAAAUUUUAUUAGGCGGCUUCGUAACUCCGUAAAUUGGCAUCACUGCCUUCCAUUCCAGUUCUCACGAAAUUCGUCUGCAUUUGCUAUUUACGUCAGUCUCAGUCUCACAGCAGCUCAUAGUUUGACUGUUGGAGCUGUGCGUUGAUAAUCAACCCAGAGCUCCAGUCCAGCAUUCAGCAUAGUGUCCACAAACACAUUUGUCUAAGUGAAAUUUUGAUUAAUCAAUUGACGUAAUAGUACGUUCAAGUACAGGUUUCUUUUGUUCAUUGACUGCUCAAUCAUUACAGUAUCCCGCCCUCUGACACGUGGUUGAAACAAAGAAGUGGAACUCGUUAACAAGUGGAACUGGAUUUUUGGUCUUCCAUGCAUAAUGAGAGGUACCUCAAGGGAGAAAAGUUGUCUCUGUUCAUCUUUUGUCCAGCCAGUGUUUCAUUUGUUACGUGUUAGUGGUGUUACCUAUUGAAUUGAAUUUUGGCAUUCAACGUCAGCAACUCUUUACCCUUACUUGAACUACUGAGCCAUUCUACCUGAAAUUGCAAUUCUUCAUUCAACUCAGUUCCACAUCUAGCAAAUAGCAUCUGUUCGAGAUAUUAGCUCACAGCCAAACGCGAUGAGGAUAAUGUCGCUGGGCACGACUGAAGGAGUGAAGGCCACAGACCAAUUGUGGCCCAAUAUGGUGGUGACUCCUCCACCGAGAGGAGGUACAGCAAAAAUCGAAGACAAACAAAUCUUGGUAGACUGGAUAUAGACGGCCUUUAAAGUCCAGCAAAUGAAAAGAUUCUUCUCCAAUCAGGAAAGUAUCCUGCCUCACUAAACAGGAUUCCGGAUGAAACCAAAACGUAUUUCACCAAAUAACGGCUGAUUCUUCUUUAUUCGGGUGGUUUUUUAAUAGUUGUGUCACACCGUAUUUCACACCAGUGUCAUGGAUUUGGGAACCAGCGACGAGCUAUUUCCGUAGAGAGACAACUGACACUCCGACUUUUGUGGUUCCUAGCGUACACUCAAAGUUGACCCAACUUAAACAAACUGAAAAGUUUCUGGACGAAGAAAUUGCUGGCAUGGAUAGUGAAAUGAUAGAACUUCAGCAGAAGGCAUGCACACUUUUUUGAAGGAGGAUUCCCACGAAAGAUGCAUUGCGUCAACGCAAACAAAUAGAAUUGAUGUGUAACCAGCGCAAACAGUUCUUAUCUAAAAUCUACGAUGAAAUUCCGGUUAUACAAGAGGCCUACAAAAUUGGCCUUUCUGAAUCAAAUGAUUUGUCUAGCGAUCCUUCGAAGAAAGAAGAAAAUAUUCUCUACGCCGAACUGAAGACGGAGUUUAAGUAACAGGAAGAAACCUGGAAUAUCUUCCCACUGAUUACUGUUCAAGAAGACGAAUCCCGAAUUGGAAGAGGAGUUAAAAGCGAUCGUAGAAAAAAGGGCGCGAAAGUGAUCCCUAUUACUCUUUAAGUUGAAACUCUUCUGUAAAAAGUAAAAAAAAAAGCAUUGGCAAAGAAAAAUCUGUGGACG
RNAcentral lists this long non-coding RNA (1520 nucleotides) under Daphnia pulicaria. Its description in RNAcentral is "uncharacterized LOC124350258, transcript variant X3". The record is from RNAcentral. Lineage: Eukaryota; Metazoa; Arthropoda; Branchiopoda; Diplostraca; Daphniidae.